AGUCGGAUUGUUUAUCGAAGGUUCGAUGAUUAUGAAUCAUUGGUAAUGAAUUAUCCUGUGAAUGUGAGUGGUUCAAAUCCAACCUCGGCAUC
RNAcentral lists this transfer RNA (92 nucleotides) under Emticicia aquatilis. RNAcentral's name for it is "tRNA-His". The record is from RNAcentral. Lineage: Bacteria; Pseudomonadati; Bacteroidota; Cytophagia; Cytophagales; Leadbetterellaceae.